Ribosomal RNA from Lepisosteus oculatus (spotted gar), 119 nucleotides. Lineage: Eukaryota; Metazoa; Chordata; Actinopteri; Semionotiformes; Lepisosteidae. The record is from Ensembl.
GCCAGCAGCCAUAUCACCCUGCAACUCACAACUGGUAACCCACUGAAGCUAAACAGGUGUGAGCCUGGUCAGUACCUGGAUGGGAGACCACCUGGGAAAAACUAAGGUUGCUGCUGGAA